This 557-nucleotide ribosomal RNA is filed under the name uncultured bacterium. RNAcentral describes it as "bacterial SSU rRNA". It matches the Rfam family "Bacterial small subunit ribosomal RNA", at positions 102 to 694 of the family's 1533-position model. The record is from RNAcentral.
ACGGGUGAGUAACGCGUGGGAAUCUACCCUGAACUGCGGAAUAGCUCCGGGAAACUGGAAUUAAUACCGCAUGUGCCCUGAGGGGCAAAGAUUUAUCGGUUCAGGAUGAGCCCGCGUCCGAUUAGCUAGUUGGUGGGGUAAAGGCCUACCAAGGCGACGAUCGGUAGCUGGUCUAAGAGGAUGAUCAGCCACAUUGGGACUGAGACACGGCCCAAACUCCUACGGGAGGCAGCAGUGGGGAAUAUUGGACAAUGGGCGCAAGCCUGAUCCAGCCAUGCCGCGUGAGUGAUGAAGGCCCUAGGGUUGUAAAGCUCUUUCAGUGGGGACGAUAAUGACGGUACCCACAGAAGAAGCCCCGGCUAACUUCGUGCCAGCAGCCGCGGUAAUACGAAGGGGGCUAGCGUUGUUCGGAAUUACUGGGCGUAAAGCGCACGUAGGCGGACAUUUAAGUCAGGGGUGAAAUCCCGGGGCUCAACCCCGGAACUGCCUUUGAUACUGGGUGUCUUGAGUUCGGAAGAGGUGAGUGGAAUUGCGAGUGUAGAGGUGAAAUUCGUAGA